UAAAACAAGUUCGGACGGAUCGUCGUCAUUGUCCCUAUCUACUAUCUAGCGAAACCACAGCCAAGGGAACGGGCUUGGGAAUAAUUAGCGGGGAAAGAAGACCCUUUUGAGCUUGACUCUAAUCUGGCAGUAUAAGGAGACAUAAGAGGUGUAGAAUAAGUGGGAGAUAUUAGUCCUCGGUUUGGUAUCGUCAAUGAAAUACCACUACUCUUAUUGUUUCCUUACUUACUUGAUUAAAUGGAACGUUUAUCAUUUCCUAGCCAUUAUACGGAUAUAUUUAUUAUAUCUUAUGGUAUUGGGUUUUGAUGCAAGCUUCUUGAUCAAAGUAUCACGAGUUUGUUAUAUAAUCGCAAACAAACUCUGCAAUA
RNAcentral lists this non-coding RNA (368 nucleotides) under Drosophila sechellia. RNAcentral's name for it is "Eukaryotic large subunit ribosomal RNA". It matches the Rfam family "Eukaryotic large subunit ribosomal RNA", at positions 2109 to 2585 of the family's 3401-position model. Lineage: Eukaryota; Metazoa; Arthropoda; Insecta; Diptera; Drosophilidae. The record is from Rfam by way of RNAcentral.